CUCCCCCCCCAGGGGCCCAGGUAUCAUAUACACCGCCAAAAUAAAGAGCCUUGAGUACUAGAAGAAAAGCACCUAGACCUAACAAAAUUAAGCGAGGUUCAA
Molecule: non-coding RNA, 102 nt
Filed under: Triticum urartu
Lineage: Eukaryota; Viridiplantae; Streptophyta; Magnoliopsida; Poales; Poaceae
Description: Antisense RNA which regulates isiA expression
Rfam family: Antisense RNA which regulates isiA expression
Source: Rfam by way of RNAcentral